GGAAUUAUGCCUGAAUGUUAAGGACCACUUUGAUAGAGUGAACCAUGGGGGUUCAAGUCCCCCUAACUCCU
Molecule: transfer RNA, 71 nt
Filed under: Ijimaia dofleini
Lineage: Eukaryota; Metazoa; Chordata; Actinopteri; Ateleopodiformes; Ateleopodidae
Also listed under: 1 other name
Description: tRNA-Ile
Rfam family: tRNA
About the family: Transfer RNA (tRNA) molecules are approximately 80 nucleotides in length. Their secondary structure includes four short double-helical elements and three loops (D, anti-codon, and T loops).
Source: RNAcentral